GGAAGCCUGACGCAGCGACGCCGCGUGAGGGAUGACGGCCUUCGGGUUGUAAACCUCUUUCAGCAGGGACGAAGCGAAAGUGACGGUACCUGCAGAAGAAGCACCGGCCAACUACGUGCCAGCAGCCGCGGUAAUACGUAGGGUGCAAGCGUUGUCCGGAAUUAUUGGGCGUAAAGAGCUCGUAGGCGGUUUGUCGCGUCGGCUGUGAAAGCCCGGAGCUCAACUCCGGGUCUGCAGUCGAUACGGGCAGACUUGAGUGUUGCAGGGGAGACUGGAAUUCCUGGUGUAGCGGUGAAAUGCGCAGAUAUCAGGAGGAACACCGGUGGCGAAGGCGGGUCUCUGGGCAACAACUGACGCUGAGGAGCGAAAGCGUGGGGAGCGAACAGGAUUAGAUACCCUGGUAGUCCACGCCGUAAACGUUGGGCGCUAGGUGUGGGGGCCAUUCCACGGUCUCCGUGCCGCAGCUAACGCAUUAAGCGCCCCGCCCGGGGAGUACGGCCGCAAGGCUAAAACUCAAAGGAAUUGACGGGGGCCCGCACAAGCGGCGGAGCAUGUUGCUUAAUUCGAUGCAACGCGAAGAACCUUACCUAGGCUUGACAUGUGCGGAAAUCCUCCAGAGAUGGUGGGUCCGUAAGGGUCGCACACAGGUGGUGCAUGGUUGUCGUCAGCUCGUGUCGUGAGAUGUUGGGUUAAGUCCCGCAACGAGCGCAACCCUCGUUCCAUGUUGCCAGCGGAUAAUGCCGGGGACUCAUGGGAGACUGCCGGGGUCAACUCGGAGGAAGGUGGGGAUGACGUCAAAUCAUCAUGCCCCUUAUGUCUAGGGCUGCAAACAUGCUACAAUGGCCGGUACAAAGGGCUGCGAUACCGCGAGGUGGA
RNAcentral lists this ribosomal RNA (876 nucleotides) under uncultured bacterium. RNAcentral's name for it is "bacterial SSU rRNA". It matches the Rfam family "Bacterial small subunit ribosomal RNA", at positions 377 to 1266 of the family's 1533-position model. The record is from RNAcentral.